GGAUCCCCUAGUAACGGCGAGUGAAGAGGGACUAGCCCAAAUUUGUAAUCUGGCUCUUUCAGAGUCCGAGUUGUAACUCGAGAACAGUUUUCCGUGUUGGACCUUGUAUAAUCUGUUGGAAUAUAGCUUCGUAGAGGGUGAGAAUCCCGUACAUAACAAGGACUACCAAUGCUUUGUGAUACGUCUCUAAGAGUCGAGUUGUUUGGGAAUGCAGCUCAAAUCGGGUGGUAAAUUCCAUCUAAGGCUAAAUAUUGGCGAGAGACCGAUAGCGAACAAGUACCGUGAGGGAAAGAUGAAAAGCACUUUGGAAAGAGAGUUAACAGUACGUGAAAUUGUUAAAGGGAAACGAUUGAAGUCAGUCUUGUAGCUUUUCGUUCAACCGCAAGGGUAUUCGGAUUGCAACAGGCCAGCAUCAAUUUUUGGUGUCGGAUAAGGUAUUGGAAAUGUAGCAAUCUCGGUUGUGUAUAGUCCUUUACUUGAUACGAUGCUAGGGAUUGAGGAACGCAGUGACGCUUUUGGCGGUCUUUGGACCUUCUCACUUUGGAUGCUGG
Molecule: ribosomal RNA, 551 nt
Filed under: Eocronartium muscicola
Lineage: Eukaryota; Fungi; Basidiomycota; Pucciniomycetes; Platygloeales; Eocronartiaceae
Description: eukaryotic LSU rRNA
Rfam family: Eukaryotic large subunit ribosomal RNA
Source: RNAcentral